Molecule: ribosomal RNA, 253 nt
Filed under: uncultured bacterium
Lineage: Bacteria
Description: partial 16S ribosomal RNA
Rfam family: Bacterial small subunit ribosomal RNA
Source: RNAcentral
UACAGAGGGUGCGAGCGUUAAUCGGAAUUACUGGGCGUAAAGCGUGCGUAGGCGGUUUGUUAAGUCUGUCGUGAAAGCCCCGGGCUCAACCUGGGAAUGGCGAUGGAUACUGGCGAGCUAGAGUACGGUAGAGGAGAGUGGAAUUCCUGGUGUAGCGGUGGAAUGCGCAGAUAUCAGGAGGAACACCAAUAGCGAAGGCAGCUCGCUGGGACGGUAUUGACGCUGAGGCCCGAAAGCGUGGGGAGCAAACAGG